This 250-nucleotide ribosomal RNA is filed under the name uncultured bacterium. RNAcentral describes it as "partial 16S ribosomal RNA". It matches the Rfam family "Bacterial small subunit ribosomal RNA", at positions 779 to 1028 of the family's 1533-position model. The record is from RNAcentral.
UAGAUACCCUGGUAGUCCACGCCGUAAACGAUGUCUACUAGCUGUUCGUGGUCUUGUACUGUGAGUAGCGCAGCUAACGCACUAAGUAGACCGCCUGGGGAGUACGGUCGCAAGAUUAAAACUCAAAUGAAUUGACGGGGGCCCGCACAAGCGGUGGAGCAUGUGGUUUAAUUCGACGCAACGCGAAGAACCUUACCUACUCUUGACAUCUACGGAAGUUUGCAGAGAUGCAGAUGUGCCUUCGGGAACC